GAGUAAAGAUUUCGGUCGCUUUGGGAGGAGCUCGCUUACUAUCAGCUUGUUGGUAGGGUAAUGGCCUACCAAGGCUAUGACGGUUAGGGGGUGUGAGAGCAUGACCCCCAGCAUUGGCACUGAAACACUGGCCAAACACCUACGGGUGGCUGCAGUCGAGAAUCUUCCACAAUGGGGGAAACCCUGAUGGAGCGAUGCUGCGUGCGGGAUGAAGGCCUUCGAGUUGUAAACCGCUUUUGUAGGGGACGAAAUUUUUGACGGUACCCUUUCGAAUAAGAGGUUGCUAACUCUGUGCCAGCAGCAGCGGUAAUACAGAGACCUCAAGCGUUAUCCGGAUUUACUGGGCGUAAAGCGUCUGUAGGGGGUUUAUUAAGUUCCAAGUAAAAUUUCAAGGCUCAACUUUGAAUUCGCUUGGAAAACUAAUAAACUGGAGUCUAGCAGAGGUGCAUGGAACUUGUGGUGUAGGAGUGAAAUCCGUUGAUAUCACAAGGAACACCAAAAGGCGAAGGCAUUGCACUGGGCUAGCACUGACCCUGAGAGACGAAAGCGUGGGGAGCAAAACGGAUUAGAUACCCGUGUAGUCCACGCCCUAAACGAUGAAUGCUAAAUGUUCGGGGAUUCGACCCCCUGGGUGUUACAGCUAACGCGUUAAGCAUUCCGCCUGGGAAGUACGGCCGCAAGGCUAAAACUCAAAGGAAUAGACGGGGAUCCGCACAAGCGGUGGAGCGUCUGGUUUAAUUCGACAGUAAGCGUGGUACCUCACCAGGGUUUGACAUCCCUUGACAGCCUUGGAAACAAGGUUUCCUUCGGGCAAGGUGACAGGUGCUGCAUGGUCGUCGUCAGUUCGUGCCGUGAGGUGUUCCGUUAAGUCGGGAAACGAACGAAACCCCUAUUGCAUGUUACAAUUUCUCAUGCAAGACUGCCCGGAUAUACUGGGAGGAAGGUGGGGAUGACGUCAGAUCUGCAUGGUCCUUAUACCCUGGGCGACACAGGCGCUACAAUGGCAGAGACAAAGGGUUGCAAAACCGCAAGGUGAAGCUAAUCCCAAAAACUUUGUCUAAGUUCGGAUUGAAGGCUGCAAUUCGCCUUCAUGAAGCUGGAAUCGCUAGUAAUCGUGAAUCAGCCACGUCACGGUGAAUAUGUUCCCGGAUCUUGUACUCACCGCCCGUCACACCAAGAGAGUUGGUAGCUCC
This 1193-nucleotide ribosomal RNA is filed under the name uncultured organism. RNAcentral's name for it is "bacterial SSU rRNA". It matches the Rfam family "Bacterial small subunit ribosomal RNA", at positions 199 to 1421 of the family's 1533-position model. The record is from RNAcentral.